RNAcentral lists this ribosomal RNA (567 nucleotides) under uncultured bacterium. RNAcentral describes it as "partial 16S ribosomal RNA". It matches the Rfam family "Bacterial small subunit ribosomal RNA", at positions 355 to 914 of the family's 1533-position model. The record is from RNAcentral.
UGGGGAAUUUUGGACAAUGGGGGAAACCCUGAUCCAGCCAUCCCGCGUGUGCGAUGAAGGCCUUCGGGUUGUAAAGCACUUUUGGCAGGAAAGAAACGUCGCGGGUUAAUACCCCGCGAAACUGACGGUACCUGCAGAAUAAGCACCGGCUAACUACGUGCCAGCAGCCGCGGUAAUACGUAGGGUGCAAGCGUUAAUCGGAAUUACUGGGCGUAAAGCGUGCGCAGGCGGUUCGGAAAGAAAGAUGUGAAAUCCCAGAGCUUAACUUUGGAACUGCAUUUUUAACUACCGGGCUAGAGUGUGUCAGAGGGAGGUGGAAUUCCGCGUGUAGCAGUUGAAAUGCGUAGAUAUGCGGAGGAACACCGAUGGCGAAGGCAGCCUCCUGGGAUAACACUGACGCUCAUGCACGAAAGCGUGGGGAGCAAACAGGAUUAGAUACCCUGGUAGUCCACGCCCUAAACGAUGUCAACUAGCUGUUGGGGCCUUCGGGCCUUGGUAGCGCAGCUAACGCGUGAAGUUGACCGCCUGGGGAGUACGGUCGCAAGAUUAAAACUCAAAUGAAUUGAC